UUCUCAUGCCGCUGCUGCCCAGCGCUUAGACCUUUUCAUUAUGGGUCACCCUAGCAAGAGUAGCUCGUAAUGGCACAGCUCUAAGCUUCAUUGGCCUACACAAAGUCUCCUGCAGAGCUGGAGUCGUCAUUAGUAUUUACACCUACUGGAGCAGAACACAGUGUGAUGCCUCAAAGAACAUUCGGCUGACGUUUACAAUCAAAAGCAGCAUUCCCUUUGAACUCCAUUGAAAUCUGGGCUUCUGGUCUCCGAGAAUCUUCCAAGUUUUAAGCAUAGAGUGUUUCAAAAGUGUGAGGCCCUCAAGCCAAGAUUCCCAGAUCAAGCCUAUCAGGUUGACAGAGGAUAAUUGUUACGGGGUAGAAAUGCCAUCACACUUCAUCUGAGAAGCUCCACACAGCCCUCCCAGAAAGAGCCAGGACUUGAGAGUCAGAAGACCCAGAUUCUAGUCACGGCUCCCCUGCUUGCCUGCUUCGUGAC
Molecule: long non-coding RNA, 477 nt
Organism: Ornithorhynchus anatinus (platypus)
Lineage: Eukaryota; Metazoa; Chordata; Mammalia; Monotremata; Ornithorhynchidae
Exons: 4
Source: RefSeq, a predicted model, not a curated record